CACCAUGUAUGUAAAUAUUGAUUUUUUUUAUUAAAAAAGAGCAACUUUUACCCAAAAUCAAGCAAAGCAGGCAGGCAGCUUGAGUUGCUCACAGAAUUAUUCAGUGAUCAAUCUAUCUGCCAUAGGCUAGCUCAGUAUGUCACAUAAAAUUUGCUUGCAAGCAAUACUCACAACAUU
Pseudonaja textilis is the source of this 177-nucleotide non-coding RNA. Lineage: Eukaryota; Metazoa; Chordata; Lepidosauria; Squamata; Elapidae. The record is from RefSeq and is a predicted model, not a curated record.